This 76-nucleotide transfer RNA is filed under the name Bacteroidales bacterium 6E. RNAcentral describes it as "tRNA-His". It matches the Rfam family "tRNA". Rfam says of the family: Transfer RNA (tRNA) molecules are approximately 80 nucleotides in length. Their secondary structure includes four short double-helical elements and three loops (D, anti-codon, and T loops). Lineage: Bacteria; Pseudomonadati; Bacteroidota; Bacteroidia; Bacteroidales. The record is from RNAcentral. RNAcentral also lists the same sequence under 1 other name.
GUGGAUGUAGCUCAGUAGGUUAGAGCGUCGGAUUGUGGUUCCGAAGGUCGCCGGUUCGAGCCCGGUCUUCCACCCA